UGCCAGCCGCCGCGGUAAUACGGAAGGUGCGAGCGUUAAUCGGAAUUACUGGGCGUAAAGCGCACGUAGGCGGACUUUUAAGUCAGAUGUGAAAUCCCAAGGCUCAACCUUGGAACUGCAUUUGAAACUGGGAGUCUAGAGAUCAGGAGAGGGGGAUGGAAUUCCUGGUGUAGCAGUGAAAUGCGUAGAUAUCAGGAGGAACACCGAUGGCGAAGGCAGUCCCCUGGGUCGACACUGACGCUCAGGCACGAAAGCGUGGGGAGCAAACAGGAUUAGAUA
This 279-nucleotide ribosomal RNA is filed under the name uncultured bacterium. RNAcentral's name for it is "partial 16S ribosomal RNA". It matches the Rfam family "Bacterial small subunit ribosomal RNA", at positions 506 to 784 of the family's 1533-position model. The record is from RNAcentral.